GAAGAUUAAAAAAAUCCUAAAUCCUAGGGCACAUAGAUGGAAAACAUGUAUUGGGAGAGGGGUAUGUAUUAGUCUCCUAGGGUUACUAUAACAAGGUAUCACAAACUGGUGGCUUAAAAGAACAAAAUUUGGGUUUCGCUGGUGGCGCAGUGGUUGAGAGUCCACCGGCCGAUAUGAUGCAGGGGACACGGGUUUGUGCCCUGGUCCGGGAAGAUCCCACAUGCCGCGGAGUGGCUAGGCCCGUGAGCCGUGUCCACUGAGCCUGUGUGUCCGGAGCCGGUGCUCCGCAACGGGAGAGGCCACAACAGUGAGAGGCCCGCGUAGCGCAAAAAAAAAAAAAAAAAGAUUUAUUCUCUCACAGGUCUGGAGGAAGACUGAAAUCAAGGUGUUGGUCAGGUUGAUAGCUCCUGGAGGCUUUGAGGGAGAAUCUGUUCCGUGCCUCUCUCCUAGCUUCUUGUGGUGGCCAGCAAUCCUUUGUGUUCCUUGGCAGUCUCUCUCUCCACUGUCACAUGGUGUUCUCUAUGUGUGUGUGUGUGUGUGUGUGUGUGUGUGUAUGUGUGUGUGUGUGUGUGUCCAUGUCCAAAAUUCCUUCUUCUAAAAAGAACAUCAGUCAUUGGAUUAAUGCCCACCUUAAUCCAGUAUGCCCUCCUUUUAACUUGAUUACAUUUACAAAGACCCUAUUUCCAAAUAAGAUUGCAUUCUGAGAUUCCUAGUGGACAUGAAUUUUGGGGGGACACUAUUCAACCCAAUAUAGGGUAUAAAUUUUAUAUUUCACUGGUGUUUGUAGACACUUCACCAGAGAGCAGUUUCCAUGACACUGCAAUAUCCAGAUGUCCUUGAUGUAGACAUUGAGUUGGUCAGUGGACUAGUCAGAUUGUAGAACCAUGGCUGCUACUUGUUCAUAUGCAAAUAUUUGGUUAUGGGAAGCUAAAAGAAUUAGUACUAAGUAGGAGAAGUUGAAAAUAGUAACUGGCAUAAAGAUGAUUUUUGUAACCACUUUUAUGUAUGCUCUCAUUGUUAGCUGAGCCUGGGAAAUUUGCCAGUUUUGAUCAUCUGACUCUGUGUCAUGAUACAACCUUGCUUGAUUACUUGGUGCCAAGGGGAUCAUACCAGAGGUCAUCCCUGGUAUUCUUUGGCCUGUAGGCAAAGCCUUUUUUCAAAUCACACAAGUGCAAGAUGUGCUUAUCUAAGUGACACUUCAGUAGAGGAAUCAUGGGAUUGUCAAGCUCUCCUCCACUCCCUUUACUUGAUAUGCAUAGAAGAGGCACUUUUACCGCCAGGAAAGAUUGCAGAAUUUGGUUUUCUUGAUUCUCAAGCUGGCUCUAUUUUAGGGAGGGGACCAAAAGAAGUGGCUGCUCCUAGUACACUACAGGUUGCAAGUUGUGUUGUACUGGGUCCCGCUGAAUGACCUUGUGCUUGAUAAUAAGAAUUGGAGUGAUGAGGGCUCUCCUCCUACUGCUGCUGUUCCAGGGAAUGCCGAAGGCCAUUCUUGCCAGAUCACACUCUGCAGUAUUUCUACUCGGCUGUAUCUGAGCCAGCUCCAGGAGUCCCUUCAUUUACUGCUUUUGGCUUUGUGGACGACCAGCCCUUCAUUCACUAUGACAGUGAGGAGAUGAAGGCAAAGUCUUCUGUUCAGUGGUUGAUGGAGGAGCCGAGUUACUUAGAGGAUGAGACCAAGAUCUUCACAAGUCGGAUGAAGAUUUUCCACUUAAAUCUCAGGAAUGUGCAGCAAUAUUACAACCAAACCAUGGAGGAUGGUCUAAACAAAGCGCUGGCACAAAAGCAAACAGGCAGGUCCCCACACCCUCCAGUUCACCUACGCCUGUGAGCUCCAGCAGGCAGGCCCACGGGGCACUGGCAGUAUGGCUGUGAUGGUGAGGACUACCUGAGCUUGCAUAUGGACUCUGCAAUACACAGCAGCAACAUUCAUUGCUCAAUACACCAAACGAAAAUGGGAGGCUGGUGGGAACUUCACAGAGAGAGACAAGAACUACUUGGAAAAAGAGCGCGUCCUGUGGCUGCAGAGAUACUAGAAAUUUGGAAAUCAAGCCCACGUAGAAGUCUGCCUGCCUCGUUACUGGGAAGUACCAUCCACACAUGUGUGCUUAGUAAGUCUGGGGCCUUUUGCUUGCACUUAUUCUUUGUAAGGCACAUGUGAAAAUCGAGACCAAUAUCAACGUGAUGAAUCUGGUGACGGGGACAUGAUUCCUAGGAGUUGAAGGUCAGGGAAUGUCACUACUGAGGACAGGCCUCCAGGAGGGUGGUUGGUCCAGUCCCUGCAUAUCUACUUUCUUCAUGUUUUUGGUUCCUGCCCUGGGUUUUCAGUCACAGGAAACUUCCCUGGGGUUCAGGACUAGGGGCUUCCUUUAGGGCCUCAUGACCUGCCUUCUCCCUGGCUUCACAGGACAUUGUGUUUCUUUCCUCAAAUGGAAAAAGAGGGACUAUUCUCAGGCUGCAAUUAAGUAUUGAGCAGAGGUGGAGGUGGAGGGUGAACCCUGAGAUCCUUGGGAUAGUGCAGACAGGAGCCGAUGGGGGAGCUCACCCACCCCAUGAUUCCUUCUUUAGCCACAUCUCUGGGCUCUGGCCGCUUCCUGUUUUGUUCUCCCCUAGGCAGUGACAGCGCUCUGGGCUCUGAUGCUCUCACUGAUUCUAAAGGUGAGGCCCUAAAGGGCCCAAAAUGGGAGAGAGGUUGGGGCAGAGGGAACACACUGGGUUAUGGAGAUUCUUUGAGUGGGACAUUUUGAGCAUGUGGCGGGGGGGCUGUUGAGAAUGAACCACUUACGGUGAUUGACCUGAAUUUGUUCAUGAUUAUUUUCUUUCACAGUAUGAGAGAGUGGCCUUGUGUGGGACUGAGUGAUGCAAGAUUUGUUUAUGCCCCACCCCCCUCCUUUGUGACUUUGGAUCCCCUGACUUCUGUUUCUGCAGCUGCAUCUGAAUGUGUCUGUGUUCCUCGUAGCAUAAUGUGAGGAGGUGGGGAGACUGGCUCACCCCUGCCCACCACGACCCCUCCCCACCCUGACCUGUGUUCUCUUCCCUGAUCCACUUGCCUGUUCCAGCAGAGGUGGGGGUGGGCCGUCUCCAUCCCUGUCUUAACUUCACGUUGCACUGAAUUGCAGCUUGUUACUCCUUAUUGAAAAUAGGAAUCUGGAUAUGAAUUUGUUUCUUCUGAUUCUUGUCAUGAGGUGGGGUUGGUGGGUUAAUUAAAAGAUAGGAAGAUUCUUAAAAUUUGCGAGAAAUAAAUGGAAGCGCUGAGAACCUUCCACAAUCUGUGUGCUUGCUGCGCUGAGUCUGCUGCAGGCGGGACAGGAGGAGGCUGUGAGGAGCUGAGUGUGGACGCGGCCUGUGCCCACUCCGUGCUCACUGCAUCGUGGGCUUUGAUGUGGUCACUCCUGGUCACAUCUUCUCAGCUCCUUUGUCCUUGUCCCUUCAGUAGAACCUUGUCCCACCAGGACUUGUGAUCACAGGGACUCGGACAUCACCUGGACCUUGUCGUGUCUCCUGGACUCUGGGCAGUGAGGACUUUACGUGGUUGGGUCAGCCAGGACUCAGGACUGGGUCUGGCCCUCAGCCCUCAUCUUUUAGGUGUUUUGUUUGUUUGUUUGUUUGUUUGUUUCUGUAGAGAAUUACGCCUCUUCUUGUUCUUGUAUAUGAAUUCUAGUCUCAUUUUACUCUGGGUGUCCCCCAUCUCUGACAGGAGCAGGAGUGAUUUUUGCCUGUCAUUGUCCCCACGAGGCCCAGGAGCUCCCUGCUCACUGUAGUGUCAGUGGUCUGCAGAAAUGAGUUUUCUGACUCAUCCAGCUCUUGCCCUCCUUCUAAGGCUAUUUUCUGGAUUGUUCUUUCCAUCUUUUCCCCAACCUUUCUUUAAGGAACCAGAUCCCAGAAUUAGUAGAGAGGAUGCGGGAGUCCAGCUCCUGCAGGUCCAGGAAUACGUGAGGGAUGGACAGCGUCGGCGAGGGGAAGUUAAAUAAUUCAAUAACACUGUGUAUGUACAAGCAUGGUCUCUCUCUCUUUAUUUUCUCACAGUCAGAUUUAUAUACCCUAAGUGAUUGCAUCAUCAGGUGCCUAGCUAAAACUUCAGAAGAUAUUUAUAAUAGAUUGUACCUAAUAUUUCUAUAUGUACUUUUAAAAUAAUUCUAAAGGUUUUCAAAACAUCAUUGUUUUUUCUUAGAGUAGGUUCAAUCCGUACUAAUAACAAAGCCAAGCUAAUAUGUAACAAGCCAUUAAAAGAAACUAUGAAGGAGGAAGUUUCCUGAACUUUCCUAUGUGUCCCAGAGGUCCGCAUGGACGAGUCUUAACAAUGUACCCCUAAAUUAUCUACAAUACAUUUCACAAUUCAGUCUAUCAUUGUGUUCUUCUGGGCAAGAAGCCUUGUCUGAAUGGACGAGUCAACAAUUCCAAUGUUGGCAGUUGACUCUGUAUGAUUAAUUUAUCCUUAUACCAGAAGCAACAAUACCCAUAAUCAUUUCUUACUCCCAUGUAGGGCCAUUGCUUUUUUAUUAUUGGUGUUUUCCAUAGAAACAACCCUACAUUUCCAGGCUGUUUGUUUUUUCUCCCACCAGCCAGGGGCUGUUGUUAAAAAGUCCCAAUUCGUAGGUUUUGGUUUGGGAGGGGGAAGAGGAUGUUUUACACGGUUAAGCUUGG
RNA transcript from Physeter macrocephalus (sperm whale), 4641 nucleotides. It is a transcript of the gene named H-2 class I histocompatibility antigen, Q9 alpha chain-like, with no coding region annotated. The record is from RefSeq and is a predicted model, not a curated record. The transcript is spliced from 4 exons. NCBI's taxonomy places the organism in Eukaryota, Metazoa, Chordata, Mammalia, Artiodactyla, Physeteridae.